This 471-nucleotide ribosomal RNA is filed under the name uncultured bacterium. RNAcentral describes it as "bacterial SSU rRNA". It matches the Rfam family "Bacterial small subunit ribosomal RNA", at positions 30 to 490 of the family's 1533-position model. The record is from RNAcentral.
AUUGAACGCUGGCGGCAUGCCUUACACAUGCAAGUCGAAUGGCAGCACGGGAGCAAUCCUGGUGGCGAGUGGCGAACGGGUGAGUAAUAUAUCGGAACGUGCCCAAUCGUGGGGGAUAACGCAGCGAAAGCUGUGCUAAUACCGCAUACGAUCUACGGAUGAAAGCGGGGGAUUCGCAAGAACCUCGCGCGAAUGGAGCGGCCGAUAUCAGAUUAGCUAGUUGGUGGGGUAAAAGCUCACCAAGGCGACGAUCUGUAGCUGGUCUGAGAGGACGACCAGCCACACUGGAACUGAGACACGGUCCAGACUCCUACGGGAGGCAGCAGUGGGGAAUUUUGGACAAUGGGGCGCAAGUCUGAUCCAGCCAUUCCGCGUGCAGGACGAAGGCCUUCGGGUUGUAAACUGCUUUUGUACAGAACGAAAAAGGUCUCUAUUAAUACUAGGAGCUCAUGACGGUACCGUAAGAAUAAG